AGAGUUUGAUCAUGGCUCAGGAUGAACGCUGGCGGCGUGCCUAACCCAUGUGAGUCGAACGAUUCUGUAGUAAUACGGAAGAGUGGCGGAAGGGUGAGUAACACGUGGAAGACCUGCCUCACCGCAGGGAACAACCGCGCGAAAGCGCGGCUAAUACCCAAAAGGUUCGAUGCUUCGGUGCGUCGAGCAGAGUACCGCAAGGUGCGUGGUGAGAGGGUUCUGCGGCCCAUCAGCUAGUUGGUAGGGUAGUGGCCUACCAAGGCGACGACGGGUAGGGGGUCUGAGAGGACGAUCCCCCACACUGGAACUGCAACACGGUCCAGACGCCUACAGGUGGCAGCAGGGAGGAAUAUUGCACAAUGGGCGCAAGCCCGAUGCAGCAACGCCGCGUGGAGGAUGAAGGCCUUCGGGUCGUAAACUCCUUUUGAGGGAGACGAGCAAGGACGGUAUCCCUCGAAUAAGCCACGGCUAACUACGUGCCAGCAGCCGCGGUAAAACGUAGGUGGCGAGCGUUAUCCGGAUUCAUUGGGCGUAAAGCGCUUGUAGGUGGCCUUGUAAGUUGGACGUGAAAUCUCCCGGCUUAACCGGGCGGGGUCGUUCAAUACUGCAGGGCUGGAGGAUGUCAGAGGGCAGCGGAAUUCCUGGUGUAGCAGUGAAAUGCGUAGAUAUCAGGAGGAAC
This 679-nucleotide ribosomal RNA is filed under the name uncultured bacterium. Its description in RNAcentral is "bacterial SSU rRNA". It matches the Rfam family "Bacterial small subunit ribosomal RNA", at positions 8 to 707 of the family's 1533-position model. The record is from RNAcentral.